This 495-nucleotide ribosomal RNA is filed under the name uncultured bacterium. RNAcentral describes it as "partial 16S ribosomal RNA". It matches the Rfam family "Bacterial small subunit ribosomal RNA", at positions 28 to 507 of the family's 1533-position model. The record is from RNAcentral.
GACGAACGCUGGCGGCGUGCCUAAUACAUGCAAGUAGAACGCUGAAGGAGGAGCUUGCUUCUCUGGAUGAGUUGCGAACGGGUGAGUAACGCGUAGGUAACCUGCCUGGUAGCGGGGGAUAACUAUUGGAAACGAUAGCUAAUACCGCAUAAUAGCAGUUGUUGCAUGACAACUGUUUGAAAGGUGCAAUUGCACCACUACCAGAUGGACCUGCGUUGUAUUAGCUAGUUGGUGGGGUAGCGGCUCACCAAGGCGACGAUACAUAGCCGACCUGAGAGGGUGAUCGGCCACACUGGGACUGAGACACGGCCCAGACUCCUACGGGAGGCAGCAGUAGGGAAUCUUCGGCAAUGGCCGGAAGUCUGACCGAGCAACGCCGCGUGAGUGAAGAAGGUUUUCGGAUCGUAAAGCUCUGUUGUAAGAGAAGAACGAGUGUGAGAGUGGAAAGUUCACACUGUGACGGUAUCUUACCAGAAAGAGACGGCUAACUACGUG